AUCUCCCGAAUUUGCCAUCGAUUUUUUACAUUAAAAAAUUCAUCCACAUAGAAAUUGCCCCUCUUCAUUUACGAAUCUGAGAUUUCUGCUGACUCUCCUUUCAAACCAGACGAAGAAUCAUCUCUCCACAUAAUUCAAAUACGGUAAGAACCAAUAAUGGAACUCCAGAGAUUGAAUAACUACAUCCUUGUUCUUCUUCUUUUUUUGGAUUCGUAUUUGCAUUCCUUGUUUCCACAUAAACUUGCUUCCCCAUUGGGUUGUGUUCUGCAAAUUGGAAGAAGCGCGAUGUUCUCAACAAAAAAAAAAA
RNAcentral lists this long non-coding RNA (307 nucleotides) under Salvia miltiorrhiza (redroot sage). RNAcentral's name for it is "long non-coding RNA (SMIL_LNC001698)". Lineage: Eukaryota; Viridiplantae; Streptophyta; Magnoliopsida; Lamiales; Lamiaceae. The record is from RNAcentral.